This 531-nucleotide ribosomal RNA is filed under the name uncultured bacterium. RNAcentral describes it as "bacterial SSU rRNA". It matches the Rfam family "Bacterial small subunit ribosomal RNA", at positions 777 to 1304 of the family's 1533-position model. The record is from RNAcentral.
AAUAGAUACCCGGGUAGUCCAUGCCGUAAACGAUGUCUACUAGCCGUUGGGGCCCUUGAGGCUUUAGUGGCGCAGCUAACGCGAUAAGUAGACCGCCUGGGGAGUACGGUCGCAAGACUAAAAACUCAAAUGAAUUGACGGGGGCCCGCACAAGCGGUGGAGCAUGUGGUUUAAUUCGAUGCAACGCGAAGAACCUUACCUGGCCUUGACAUACAGAGAACUUUCCAGAGAUGGAUUGGUGCCUUCGGGAACUCUGAUACAGGUGCUGCAUGGCUGUCGUCAGCUCGUGUCGUGAGAUGUUGGGUUAAGUCCCGCAACGAGCGCAACCCUUUUCCUUAUUUGCCAGCACUUCGGGUGGGAACUUUAGGGAUACUGCCAGUGACAAACUGGAGGAAGGCGGGGACGGACGUCAAGUCAUCAUGGCCCUUACGGCCAGGGCUACACACGUGCUACAAUGGUCGGUACAAAGGGUUGCUACUGCGCGAGCAGAUGCUAAUCUCAAAAAACGCCGAUCGUAGUCCGGAUCGCAGU